This 230-nucleotide long non-coding RNA is filed under the name Mus musculus (house mouse). RNAcentral's name for it is "long non-coding RNA chr6:70295176-70295406". Lineage: Eukaryota; Metazoa; Chordata; Mammalia; Rodentia; Muridae. The record is from RNAcentral.
GGAGAAAGAGUCUCCAUUACCUGCAGGGCCAGUCAGAGCCUGCACUACACAGAUGGAAAUCACUACCUAUCCUGGUACCAGGAAAGACCAGGCAGACCUUCAAAGCCCUUAUUUACCAUGCUUCAGUCAGGACUGAUGGAGUCCCCACCAGUUUCUUUAACAGUGAAUCUGCAACAGAAUUCACCCUCACUAUUGAAGACCUUCAACCUGAGGACUUUGCACUUUAUCAC